This is a long non-coding RNA of Mytilus californianus (California mussel), 806 nucleotides long. RefSeq lists it as uncharacterized. The transcript is spliced from 2 exons. The record is from RefSeq and is a predicted model, not a curated record. Lineage: Eukaryota; Metazoa; Mollusca; Bivalvia; Mytilida; Mytilidae.
UACUGGUAGAAAUAAUUCAGACAAAAAAUCAAGGAGAUGUACAAUUCACUACACAGAAUAUACUUAGCUACUAUACACCGUUGUCGCUUUACAGUGUUGAUGUUUCAAACAGAACAUACAUACGGUUUCUUGUGAAAGCAAAAGAGUCAGCAUUUGUGGCACUAUGGUCUUCUUCUAAUAUAUCUGACUCCAUGUUUUAUGAAUUUGCAUUGGGAGCUGCAAGUACUGCCAUUUCUUUACGUCGAAAUAAGGUCACGGCGUAUUUUGAGCAUUUUACGCCUGGUACAUGGAUGAGCAAUGCGGAAUUCAUGCCUUUUUGGAUAAGUUGGGAAAAUGGAGUUAAGGAAAUUGGAACCUCAUCAGAACUUUCCAAAGAAAAAAGAAAAAGCUGGCCAGACCCAAAUCCAUUGAAUGUUUCUUCUGCAGGAAUACUGACAGGGUGGGGACAGGAUGGGGAAUGGAUAAUCUAUCCAUAUAAAGUUGAAGAAGAGAGUUCCCGUAGUUGUUCUAGUAUGGUGCACAAGAAGACCAACAUAAGUUCUGAAGCUGCAAAUACCAAAGCGAGACGGUUGAAAGAAUAAUUAGUGAUUAAAAAGGAUAGUUUAUCUAGAUUCGAAAGAAGAAAGAUCAGUGUCGGCGAUUAUCGUGGUUCAUCAAAACACACCGGAUACAUAGCAGCAGCUGUUCUUACAUUCAUACUGGUUGGUAUCUGUUCUUUGGAUUGUUUCUCUGUACGAAGAAAAUAAGAGUUGAUUGUCGAUAAUCCUAACGGUUAUCUGUCAAAUUACAUAAAGUAUCUCAUUUUG